RNAcentral lists this non-coding RNA (23 nucleotides) under Cricetulus griseus (Chinese hamster). The record is from RNAcentral. Lineage: Eukaryota; Metazoa; Chordata; Mammalia; Rodentia; Cricetidae.
GGAAAGAUGGCUCAGUGGUUAAG